RNAcentral lists this ribosomal RNA (254 nucleotides) under uncultured bacterium. RNAcentral's name for it is "partial 16S ribosomal RNA". It matches the Rfam family "Bacterial small subunit ribosomal RNA", at positions 526 to 779 of the family's 1533-position model. The record is from RNAcentral.
CGGAGGGUGCAAGCGUUAAUCGGAAUUACUGGGCGUAAAGCGCGCGUAGGUGGCUUUAUAAGCCGGUUGUGAAAGCCCCGGGCUCAACCUGGGAACGGCAUCCGGAACUGUGAGGCUAGAGUACAGGAGAGGAAGGUAGAAUUCCCGGUGUAGCGGUGAAAUGCGUAGAGAUCGGGAGGAAUACCAGUGGCGAAGGCGGCCUUCUGGACUGAUACUGACACUGAGGUGCGAAAGCGUGGGUAGCAAACAGGAUU